This 175-nucleotide ribosomal RNA is filed under the name Lasiurus seminolus (Seminole bat). Its description in RNAcentral is "partial 16S ribosomal RNA". Lineage: Eukaryota; Metazoa; Chordata; Mammalia; Chiroptera; Vespertilionidae. The record is from RNAcentral.
AGAGGUAAUAAUGUUGAUAUGAGUAACAAGAAAUAAUUUCUCCUUGCAUACGUGUAUAUCAGAACGGAUAAGCCACUGAUAGUUAUCAAAAUUAAUAUAAUUACCAACAAGUACAUAACAUUAAUUGUUAAUCCCACACAGGGGUGCUAACCAAAAGAAGUAAAAGGAACUCGGC